CAACCUACCUAUCAGAGGGGAAUAACCCGGCGAAAGUCGGACUAAUACCGCAUAAAACAGGGGCACCGCAUGGUGAUAUUUGUUAAAGAAAUUCGCUGAUAGAUGGGCAUGCGUUCCAUUAGGUAGUUGGUGAGGUAACGGCUCACCAAGCCGACGAUGGAUAGGGGAACUGAGAGGUUGGUCCCCCACACUGGUACUGAGACACGGACCAGACUCCUACGGGAGGCAGCAGUGAGGAAUAUUGGUCAAUGGGCGAGAGCCUGAACCAGCCAAGCCGCGUGAAGGAAGAAGGAUCUAUGGUUCGUAAACUUCUUUUGCAGGGGAAUAAAGUGCAGGACGUGUCCUGUUUUGUAUGUACCCUGAGAAUAAGGAUCGGCUAACUCCGUGCCAGCAGCCGCGGUAAUACGGAGGAUCCGAGCGUUAUCCGGAUUUAUUGGGUUUAAAGGGUGCGUAGGUGGUUUGAUAAGUCAGCGGUGAAAGUUUGCAGCUUAACUGUAAAAAUGCCGUUGAAACUGUCGGACUUGAGUGUAAAUGAGGUAGGCGGAAUGCGUGGUGUAGCGGUGAAAUGCAUAGAUAUCACGAAGAACUCCGAUUG
Molecule: ribosomal RNA, 595 nt
Filed under: uncultured Bacteroidota bacterium
Lineage: Bacteria; Pseudomonadati; Bacteroidota
Description: bacterial SSU rRNA
Rfam family: Bacterial small subunit ribosomal RNA
Source: RNAcentral